RNAcentral lists this ribosomal RNA (322 nucleotides) under uncultured eukaryote. Its description in RNAcentral is "partial 18S ribosomal RNA". It matches the Rfam family "Eukaryotic small subunit ribosomal RNA", at positions 1470 to 1796 of the family's 1831-position model. The record is from RNAcentral.
CCCUUAGAUGUUCUGAGCCGCACGCGUGCUACACUGAGUGGAUCAGCGGGUCAGGUUGCGCGAAAGUGUUUCCUAAUCUUGAAAUCCGCUCGUGAUGGGGAUUGACGGUUGCAAUUUUCCGUCAUGAACGAGGAAUACCUUGUAAGCGCGGGUCAUCAUCCCGCGCUGAAUACGUCCCUGCCCUUUGUACACACCGCCCGUCGCUCCUACCGAUUGAGUGGUCCGGUGAGGCUUUGGGAUCUGAGCAAAGAGAGCGUUUCGCUCGUUUUGCCCGGAAAACUCAGUCGAACCUUAUCAUUUAGAGGAAGGAGAAGUCGUAACA